GGGAAUAUUGUCAAACACCUGGCGUGUGUCAGAGGCCAGUCAAAAGAAAGAAAACUAGAACUAAACUAAAAAGCUAAACUAAAAAGUGUCUUUUGCUUCUGUACGUUGUCCCUUUUAAAGAACCAAAAGAAAGAUGACUAAAAGCUAUCUAGGUGGUCCCCAUACAUGUGGACAAAGCCUCCAAAUUACUUCUUGUUUCAAGUCUCUCUACGUUCCUUUCUUUGGAGAGCCCAAAAUGACUAUAGCUUUGUGGUCCCCACCAAUUCAAGGGCAUAAGGAUUGAAACCCUUAGAAGUCUCCAUUUUCCCAUAAAAUCCCUCCUUUUUGGUAGUUUUCUGUUUUAUUCCUGAAAUUAAGUCCAGAUACCAAAUAUAAGUAGAUAUCAACAAUUAACACAAUAUUUGGUAGGGAUAAAGGGGGAAAUUAAUAAUAAAAUUAUUAACAAAUGAUACCCUAUCACCAGCAAAAAUGUAAAAGUCAACAAUCACAUGUUUACAAGCAAAAUGGACAUUCUUAGCCAGCAAAAGAAGAAAUAACUUUGUGGGACAAUCGCAUGUUUAGACAAAUUGAAUAUGGAAUGCAAAUGAAGACGAGACUCAUACUUCUCGGGCUUUCUUUUUUGUAUCCAACAAAUGAUUUGCUAGCUUCUUUAUUACCGUCAUUUUAAGCUAAAUCGAUCUGCUAGCUUAAUAACUGAUAUAAGAAAUAAACUGGUUAUCAUAAUUCAUAACUUAGCAAAAGAAGAAUAAAACAAAUCGCAGCAGAACAGAAAUAAGCCUUAAGAGAUCAUGAGCUGAUAACGGAAAUCGCAGCACUCAUUUACCAUGGACCGUUUACUGCCGGUAUAUCAUUUUAAUGCGGAGAAGCAUCUUCAAUACCUUGACAAGUAAAACUGAUCACAAGCCUCUUCGUAAAUAAGAAAAGGGCCAAUAGUCACAAAAAGAAUAAUACAUUAGGGAAAUGAAGGCUGAAGAGGUAGACCAAAAUGAUAAAACAUGAUCCCCUGUAGUUGUGGUAAGCAUUAAGCAGAAGAUGGGUUUUAGCUGGAAUUUUUGUUAUCAGCUCAUGAUCUCUGUAAACUAGGACCACAUUAACUAAUUAAAAUGAAAUAAAGAAGAACAGGGCAACAGAGUGCUACCUUUUUUUUCUAUCCUCGUCCCAACGUUGAAUUAGAAGCAAAAAAAAUAGUAGUAAAUUUAUAACAUUAAUGCCAAACAUUAUCAGAGGAACAACCAAAAAAAAACAAUCUUUGAUUUGCAGAAAUUUAAACGUGAAUAUACCAUCAUAAACCCUAAAUUUGUCAAGAAUUGAGAAUUGAGGGAGAGGAAGGAGAGUGAGGACGAGAGAGGAUGCGACGGCGAUGGUGGUGACGGCAAUGGAAGCGGCAACAAAGGUAAAAGCGGGAAGCAUAAUUCAAGAUAGAUAGGAAUCGAAAGAAAGGAGACCAAAAUAUAACUCAAUUUGUAAAUUUCACCCACUUGAUGUUGGGUAGAGGGAGGAAAGGCUUGGAGGGGUUAUGGCAGAGGUGCUGGGACAAGGAGGAGGCGGUGGCGGCGGCAGAGAAUGAUAGAGCAGAUGGUGAUUCGCUUAUGAAGAUAGAGAAAGAAGCCAGCUUUCUCUUUUUUUUAAUCC
Molecule: long non-coding RNA, 1632 nt
Filed under: Coffea arabica (coffee)
Lineage: Eukaryota; Viridiplantae; Streptophyta; Magnoliopsida; Gentianales; Rubiaceae
Description: long non-coding RNA (CARA_LNC002972)
Source: RNAcentral